UAGGGAAUCUUCCGCAAUGGGCGAAAGCCUGACGGAGCAACGCCGCGUGAGUGAUGAAGGUCUUCGGAUUGUAAAACUCUGUUAUUAGGGAAGAACAAACGAGUAAGUAACUGUGCACGUCUUGACGGUACCUAAUCAGAAAGCCACGGCUAACUACGUGCCAGCAGCCGCGGUAAUACGUAGGUGGCAAGCGUUAUCAGGAAUUAUUGGGCGUAAAGCGCGCGUAGGCGGUUUUUUAAGUCUGAUGUGAAAGCCCACGGCUCAACCGUGGAGGGUCAUUGGAAACUGGAAAACUUGAGUGCAGAAGAGGAAAGUGGAAUUCCAUGUGUAGCGGUGAAAUGCGCAGAGAUAUGGAGGAACACCAGUGGCGAAGGCGACUUUCUGGUCUGUAACUGACGCUGAUGUGCGAAAGCGUGGGGAUCAAACA
RNAcentral lists this ribosomal RNA (427 nucleotides) under uncultured bacterium. RNAcentral describes it as "partial 16S ribosomal RNA". It matches the Rfam family "Bacterial small subunit ribosomal RNA", at positions 355 to 774 of the family's 1533-position model. The record is from RNAcentral.